GAAUAUGCUUUCAUUCUGCGAUAAAAGGAAAUAGAUACGGAUAGAUACCGAUCAUAACUGUACAUUUUGUUUUCACAGACUAAGCACGCCUCAUAAUGAGGCGGUUACCUCCCAUCUGCUCGGAGCAAUAUCUGUAAGCCUCGAUUUACACUAUAUUGAUAAAGACGACAUUGUGUCCGCCUGUAAGACAUAUUACGAGACGGUACGCAGGAGCUUCAGAUAUACGCAGCCAGAGAACUCAAUGCGGGCGGAAGCUGCCAAGAAUUCAGCUCGGAGUCGAGCGAGAAGAAAGAGGCUGCUGGAAUCGAGGCAGAGCGUGCUAGCUGAUGAGGAAGUGGAACUCUGGAAGUCCGCCACCGUCGACCUCAUGUCUGACGAGGAAGAUGGCGUCGUUGGCGGGGUCUCUGGAUGGAUUGUACGGCCGCCGUCAU
This is a long non-coding RNA of Fundulus heteroclitus (mummichog), 431 nucleotides long. RefSeq lists it as uncharacterized. NCBI's taxonomy places the organism in Eukaryota, Metazoa, Chordata, Actinopteri, Cyprinodontiformes, Fundulidae. The transcript has 3 exons. The record is from RefSeq and is a predicted model, not a curated record.